Long non-coding RNA from Apteryx owenii (little spotted kiwi), 743 nucleotides. NCBI's taxonomy places the organism in Eukaryota, Metazoa, Chordata, Aves, Apterygiformes, Apterygidae. The record is from Ensembl.
ACGCCUACAGUGCGCUCCCCCUCACUCCUUUUCCUCGGAGUGCCCGGCCCCGGCCCCCUUCUGCCCCUUUCCCCGGCAGGGUGAUACUUUGUCAAGCCGUAAUCCAACCCUGCUAAACCCGCGGGUAGAGCUGAAGCGCUGCGAUGAAUCUCGGCAGACUCAUUCCUCUCCUCGAGAGCUUGCUGCCCUUAGAAAUGACUUCAGCGCGCUUUUGCAAGUGUAAAGGGAAAUCAAGAUCCCCUCUUCAUGUCUCUUGAUCUUCACCAGACUAGAAGAACCUGUAGUUCUUAGAGCUGCAGUGGAAAGUGACCUGUUGUGUUUGUGGAAGCUCUGGAAUCCUGCAGGAGAAGGAUCACUCAGCACCGUGGCAAUCUGCCAAGUACAACUUGUUCUGAAACACAGUGGCUCUGAGAAGUUGCAUUAUCAACUGAAACACAAUGUCAGCUUAGCAGGAGGUUGCUGGCUGACCCUUCUACACAGAGGUGGGGGUGGGGAACAACAUCAGUCUAGACAGAAGAGGACAACAACUAGCUGUCCACUCAGGCUGCAGAUUAGAGCUCUUCUUUAUGGAAACAAACAGCAGCAGCCAUGCCGAAACCUGAUUUYGACUCCAUUCUUGUCAUAGAAUCUAAUUUUUAGUGACCAUUAUACAAGGAAUAUUUUGGCAUCCUGGUCUUAUUUAUAAUUAAAAUUCUGUAUUAUUUUUAUUAAAAGCAAAUAAUAAAUGGGGCUAAUCUGUUUCA